This 22-nucleotide non-coding RNA is filed under the name Arabidopsis thaliana (thale cress). Lineage: Eukaryota; Viridiplantae; Streptophyta; Magnoliopsida; Brassicales; Brassicaceae. The record is from RNAcentral.
UUACAACAUCACCGGAACUUUC